GAUGAACGCUGGCGGCGUGCCUAAUACAUGCAAGUCGAGCGAACGGACGAGAAGCUUGCUUCUCUGAUGUUAGCGGCGGACGGGUGAGUAACACGUGGAUAACCUACCUAUAAGACUGGGAUAACUUCGGGAAACCGGAGCUAAUACCGGAUGAUAUUUUGAACCGCAUGGUUCAAAAGUGAAAGACGGUCUUGCUGUCACUUAUAGAUGGAUCCGCGCUGCAUUAGCUAGUUGGUAAGGUGACGGCUUACCAAGGCAACGAUGCAUAGCCGACCUGAGAGGGUGAUCGGCCACACUGGAACUGAGACACGGUCCAGACUCCUACGGGAGGCAGCAGUAGGGAAUCUUCCGCAAUGGGCUAAAGCCUGACGGAGCAACGCCGCGUGAGUGAUGAAGGUCUUCGGAUCGUAAAACUCUGUUAUUAGGGAAGAACAUAUGUGUAAGUAACUGUGCACAUCUUGACGGUACCUAAUCAGAAAGCCACGGCUAACUACGUG
This 497-nucleotide ribosomal RNA is filed under the name uncultured bacterium. Its description in RNAcentral is "partial 16S ribosomal RNA". It matches the Rfam family "Bacterial small subunit ribosomal RNA", at positions 28 to 507 of the family's 1533-position model. The record is from RNAcentral.